Molecule: long non-coding RNA, 1169 nt
Organism: Oreochromis niloticus (Nile tilapia)
Lineage: Eukaryota; Metazoa; Chordata; Actinopteri; Cichliformes; Cichlidae
Exons: 2
Source: RefSeq, a predicted model, not a curated record
GCGAAAAUGCAGGACGAUUUCACGUUAUCGCGAUGAUUCGGCCUCAGUGUGACGAAUAAGACACUAAAAUCGGGUCAGAUGAGUGACGUUUAUGUGCUUCAACAAGCCGCAAAUGCGCCAACGAUGUCUGUGUUUACAGUACACACAGGUGCAGUAAAACCUGUGGAAGAUCAGCAGCACAGCAGGUAGAGAAAACGCUUAUCCCUGGUCCAGGUGAGGUGGAGGUGUUACUGCCGGCAGUAGAAUAAAGGUGACAAGUCUGCAGAUGUUCCUUCAUGGUGUAACAUGUUUGUAUAGCUUCACCUGUGUGCCAGCUACAGGUAACUAGAAGAAGAGCCAGAUUUUACUGGAAGUUUUAAAAAGGUGGUCUUGAGCAAUAGUUCUUCGGGCUUUCUGAAAGUCUUUCAAAGUUUUUGUUUGGACUUUGGCUGCUUUUUCACUCAUUUUCAGUUCAGUCCUUGUACCUGAUCAUUUUCAGGGUAAUGAUUGCUGUUUGUUUGGGGGGGGGUUUGUUGUUAAUUCCUAUUGUAUGUGUCUACACAUAACAGACAACCUUGCAAAGAACCCAUUUGAAAUUUUAUGUUUAGGCACUUUGUUUCUAGCAGAUAUAAUUUUGCACCAACAAGGUGAUUCCCAAACAGCCAAAAACUGAAAAAUCCCAGCAUGGUGUGCAGCCGGUCCUUAAAACAUUUGAGGAAGCUGGACAAGUGCAGGACAAAAGAAGAUGUAGUUUCUGCACAAAAGGCAGAAACAUCCUGUGAAAAGAUUUUGUUUAUUAUUCAAAUAUGCUUUGCUUGUAACUGUGUAAACCUCUGAAUGAUAUGCUGUGAUUGUGUAAACUCUGAAUGACGAUUCACCCUGAUAAACAUGAAGCUUUGCCUAUGCUUAUCAUAUGCCUGUGAAGACAAGUUCCUGUGUAAAGAGGAACGGAAAGUUCCACAUAAGCAGAUGUUUAGUAUAGUAUGAACUGAACGUUUUAGCAAGAUAUGCAUUUGUCUGUUAAGCAAUCUAUGUUCUUUAGCAAGAUAUACAUUUGUAAUCUAUAUUCUGGGAACAGGCGGAGACUGCCUCCGCCCUGUUGAGUAACCUACAUGCCUAUAUAACCUGCAAUAAAGAAGAGUACUGGUGUGACUCUCAUUAGAGACGUUCACCCCAUGUACAUGUGAUUG